CCCCAAUCCGCGAAUUGGAAUAAAAAGGAAAGAAACGCGGUUUUUCUUCUUUUAUCGCGCCGAGAAUAUUCUCGGCCCAAAGGGCGAAUGAGGACGCCGCUGGAUUUUUACGCCCGAGGCCGGGUUCGGAAGAGACGCUUGUUUACCCGGGUCAAUGGCAAACUUUGAAGGAGACGGCGUUCCCACGAUUUACUAAAUCUGGUGGGGUUUCAUUUCAGCCAGAGAGGCAAGGGGGUUGGGCAGGAAUAACACCAAGCGAAAGGCUUAUUUUAACCCAGUUCGUUGGAACUGCGGGCGUUUCCUUCCGAGUAAACCUGGGGAAAAACGGCCUGUCGGAGGUGACCGCGGUUUACUUGCGUGUAAAGAGCAGUUGGGGAUCUUCGCUUAAGGUAAAACUUAAUCCCAGGGAGUUCAGAGGAUGUGCGAGGGGAAGCUUGAGCAGAGAAAUGACACCUGGCUGCAUUCACACGAUUACACCAGCCCAGCUCACCAGAUUGCUUUUUAGUCCUGGUUGUAAAUCCUGGAAAAGUGGGUGAGUAAACCUUGGCUGAAGAAAGCGAGGCCAGGGCUCCUCCAUGGCCCUUGAGUGGGUGGGGGGAGAUGUUUGAAUCAUUUGAGGUUCAGGGUUUGGAGGGAAGUUGUGUGAACAAGGGCAUGCUGUUAAGUCGUGAAGGGGGUGUGCUUUCUUAACCUAGGCGAAGAGUUGCACAUGUGAACCUACCAGUGGCAUAAGAGUGAGAGCGAGGGACAAACAGACGGACAGACAGAGGGGGAGAGAAGGAGAAGGGGAGAAAUAGAUAGGGAG
This is a non-coding RNA of Thamnophis sirtalis, 805 nucleotides long. The record is from RefSeq and is a predicted model, not a curated record. Lineage: Eukaryota; Metazoa; Chordata; Lepidosauria; Squamata; Natricidae.